This is a non-coding RNA of Myotis brandtii (Brandt's bat), 76 nucleotides long. NCBI's taxonomy places the organism in Eukaryota, Metazoa, Chordata, Mammalia, Chiroptera, Vespertilionidae. The record is from Rfam.
GAGCCACCCUUAUGGGGCAGGACUUGCUUCCCUGGGGCUUUGGUGCUCAUUGAGUCUGCCCCUUGAGUGUGUUACU